UUACCUACGGGACGCAGCAGUGGGGGAUAUUGCACAAUGGGGGGAACCCUGAUGCAGCGACGCCGCGUGGGUGAAGGAGCGUUUCGGCGCGUAAAGCCCUAUCGGCAGGGAAGAAGGAGGACGGUACCUGACUAAGAAGCCCCGGCUAACUACGUGCCAGCAGCCGCGGUAAUACGUAGGGGGCAAGCGUUAUCCGGAUUUACUGGGUGUAAAGGGAGCGCAGACGGCAGUGCAAGUCUGGAGUGAAAGCCCGGGGCCCAACCCCGGA
Molecule: ribosomal RNA, 268 nt
Filed under: uncultured bacterium
Lineage: Bacteria
Description: partial 16S ribosomal RNA
Rfam family: Bacterial small subunit ribosomal RNA
Source: RNAcentral